This 465-nucleotide ribosomal RNA is filed under the name uncultured bacterium. Its description in RNAcentral is "partial 16S ribosomal RNA". It matches the Rfam family "Bacterial small subunit ribosomal RNA", at positions 28 to 507 of the family's 1533-position model. The record is from RNAcentral.
GACGAACGCUGGCGGCGUGCUUAACACAUGCAAGUCGAACGGAAAGGCCCCCUUGUGGGGUACUCGAGUGGCGAACAGGUGAGUAACACGUGAGUAACCUACCCUUGACUUUGGGAUAACUUCAGGAAACUGGGGCUAAUACCGGAUAGGAGCUCCUGCUGCAUGGUGGGGGUUGGAAAGUUUCGGCGGUUGGGGAUGGACUCGCGGCUUAUCAGCUUGUUGGUGGGGUAGUGGCUCACCAAGGCUUUGACGGGUAGCCGGCCUGAGAGGGUGACCGGCCACAUUGGGACUGAGAUACGGCCCAGACUCCUACGGGAGGCAGCAGUGGGGAAUAUUGCACAAUGGGCGGAAGCCUGAUGCAGCAACGCCGCGUGCGGGAUGACGGCCUUCGGGUUGUAAACCGCUUUCGCCUGUGACGAAGCGUGAGUGACGGUAAUGGGUAAAGAAGCACCGGCUAACUACGUG